GUGUCGAUUGCUCUUUUGUGUUUUGUGGAAAUCCAAUUUCAGUGUCCACGGUAUGAGUCCACGCGGCUUUAUCCCUUUCUCAGAGAGAUUAGCAGGACUUCCUCCCUCUUCCAGAAGUGUGGCCACGGCAGCAGCUAGGAACCCUUAUGGGGAAGCACGUAAACAAGUGCUAAUCUCCACUCCACUGCAGAGAAACUGCACGGCGUAGAACGGUGGGCCCACCUCACCCAGGUGAAAGUAGCCCAACCUCCGAUAACACCAACAGUGGACCAAUCCCACGGCCUGAAACACCUCUAAGAAGCGAAUAUGGAAACGCCAGAAGCGGGCCUCAGAAUUCCGCUGACCUGGGUCCUCCUCCAGUGGAGCUGGUCAUUGUCAACUCUGCCUGGAAAAUGCCGUACCAGCUCACCUCUGAAGCAAAGUGGAAGGAUCCUUGCUGGUUCUGCCUUUUUCACCUACUAAGACCAUCCCAACCAGGCCAAUAAAUAGAGCCUUUUGGAUAAGAACUCUUGGGUUUUGUCAAGGCUGCCCCACGCAGCAGGCCUCUUGGACACCUGUGGGUUCAAGGUGCCAGAGGUACUAACAAAGGUCAGUGCCUUGGAAUCCCUUCAACCACUUCCCCGAUCACCGUUUGAAUUGAUUUUCAAGAAUGUAUCAUGCAUGUUGAAAACGGUUCGGUGGUCCAUACUCUGGCUCUGUAUGACUAGAAACAGCAUUAGCACCUUCACUGGGAGAAGGAAGGAAACAAAGCUCAUUGGUGGGUUUCUCUUGACUUAUCUCAACGGAGCAGGGGUUUUCUUUUUAUUCGGGUCUAACACCUACAAACCAAACCAAACUCCCUGCC
This is a long non-coding RNA of Echinops telfairi (small Madagascar hedgehog), 844 nucleotides long. RefSeq lists it as uncharacterized. Lineage: Eukaryota; Metazoa; Chordata; Mammalia; Afrosoricida; Tenrecidae. The record is from RefSeq and is a predicted model, not a curated record. The transcript is spliced from 3 exons.